This 261-nucleotide ribosomal RNA is filed under the name uncultured prokaryote. RNAcentral describes it as "partial 16S ribosomal RNA". It matches the Rfam family "Bacterial small subunit ribosomal RNA", at positions 524 to 784 of the family's 1533-position model. The record is from RNAcentral.
UACGGAGGGUGCAAGCGUUAUCCGGAAUCACUGGGCGUAAAGGGCGCGUAGGUGGUCUGUUAAGUCUGGCGUUAAAGCCUGGGGCUCAACCCCAGAUCAGCGUUGGAUACUGGCAGGCUAGACGGCUGGAGAGGCGAGUGGAAUUACCAGUGUAGCGGUGGAAUGCGUAGAUACUGGUAGGAACACCCAUUGCGAAGGCAGCUCGCUGGACAGCACGUGACGCUGAGGCGCGAAAGUGUGGGGAGCAAACCGGAUUAGAUA